Molecule: long non-coding RNA, 1454 nt
Filed under: Nicotiana tabacum (common tobacco)
Lineage: Eukaryota; Viridiplantae; Streptophyta; Magnoliopsida; Solanales; Solanaceae
Description: long non-coding RNA (NTAB_LNC000453)
Source: RNAcentral
UAUCCUUCUUAUCAUACUAUCAUGGGUAAAUGAACCGGAAAGUCCGUCAUGAGAUUAAUAGAAUUAAACAUAAGAGAAUACUCGACAUAGGACGACCCAACAUGAUAUACCAACUUAUACAUAUGACAUACGGGCCUAUAAGGCCGACAUAAUCCUUUGUAUACUCAAAACAUAGGCCGAUAAGGCCAUACAAGUAUCCAUAUACAUUACAUCUGUCUACAAGCCUAUACGAGUACAUAAAUAUCAUAAAGUUCGAGAUAUGGCCCCGCCAUACCAAUCAAUACAUGUCCAAAUCAUACUGACCAGAUAGGUAACUCCGGAUCAAGUGGAGUGAACCAACACCUUUCGCUGAGUUGAUAGCCUACUAGGAGGACUCUCAACCUGUCUAUCAGUACCUGCGGGCAUGAAACGCAAUGUCCCCAGGCAAAAGGGACGUCAGUACAAAUAAAGUACCGAGUAUGUAAGGCAUGACAGUAGUAUAUAAAAGACAUGAAAGAAACAUAGAGUAAAGAACUCAACCUGCAAUUUUGAAUAGCUAUGUGAAUCAUGAAAAAUUUAUAAUGUUAUGCAUAUGCGUAUAAAUUCCAUACCAUGCAUAGGUAUAUGCGUACAUAACAUCAUCAAGCCUCUGAUGGAAUCCCAUCAUAUCAUCUCAGCCACUGUGGGUGAAAUCAUCAACGUAUACCAGCUGAUCAGGUGGUGGUGUAUAUAUAAUGCCAGAAUCUUUUCCCAUAUCCCAAUACAUAUAAUAUACGCGUAUAUAACGCCACCUGGUCAUGUGUCAAUGUACAUGUAUAAAUGAAUGCAAUGUAUAAUGAAGUAAGUCAGUAAGAUUUCUCGGAAUGUCAUAAGAUCAAUAUGCCUUCGGAUAAACUUUAGCAACUUACGUAUUUUUCUGAUACCCAUGAACAGAAGAUAUAACAAUAGGACACAUGGGGAAUCAAGAACAUAUGCACCCUAGUACUUCUAUGAAUAAAGUCAUUUAUGAAAGUUGCGUGCUUGCUCAUUUCGUUGCAUCAUAUGGAUCAUGCCAAAAGGAAAGAAGGGAUAGUCUUAACAUACCUUUGCAAUCUUCUCUCCAAUCGCCCACCAAGCUCAAUAUGAUCUUCUUACAUCUAUAAUGAGUAACCCGACUUCGUCGUCAUCACAUAAGCAUUGUAACUCUCAUAUUUCAAAAUCAAUAUUCUACAAGAAAACGGACAGCACAUCUCUUAUAUUUACUACAUCCCAUAAGUUACUAAAAGUCACCAAACAACCCAAACAACAACAAUAUAAUUCACAAUAAGCUCUCUGAUUACUUCAACAACCAUUUUGAGCGGCAAACUCGAUUUACAAUUAAAAAAAUAUAAUUUAAUCCAAUUCCCUUUUCAUGAAUCUGCCUACAACUUAUAUAACAUCAUACUUAUGCUUACCAUAUUAUUUUCAUCCCAAAAUAUCAUAAGAAUAAUCUUCNN